RNAcentral lists this ribosomal RNA (484 nucleotides) under uncultured bacterium. Its description in RNAcentral is "partial 16S ribosomal RNA". It matches the Rfam family "Bacterial small subunit ribosomal RNA", at positions 28 to 507 of the family's 1533-position model. The record is from RNAcentral.
AUUGAACGCUGGCGGCAUGCUUUACACAUGCCAGUCGAACGGCAGCGCGGGCUUCGGCCUGGCGGCGAGUGGCGAACGGGUGGGUAAUGCAUCGGAACGUGCCCAGUAGUGGGGGAUAGCCCGGCGAAAGCCGGAUUAAUACCCCAUACGACCUGAGGGUGAAAGCGGGGGACCGAAAGGCCUCGCGCUAUUGCGGGGUCCGAUGUCGGAUUAGCUAGUUGGUGGGGUAAAGGCUUACCAAGGCGACGAUCCGUAGCUGGUCUGAGAGGAUGACCAGCCACACUGGGACUGAGACACGGCCCAGACUCCUACGGGAGGCAGCAGUGGGGAAUUUUGGACAAUGGGGGCAAGCCUGAUCCAGCCAUGCCGCGUGCGGGAAGAAGGCCUUCGGGUUGUAAACCGCUUUUGUUCGGGAAGAAAAGCAGCGGGCUAAUACCCCGGGGUGAUGACGGUACCGGAAGAAUAAGCACCGGCUAACUACGUG